This 266-nucleotide ribosomal RNA is filed under the name uncultured bacterium. Its description in RNAcentral is "partial 16S ribosomal RNA". It matches the Rfam family "Bacterial small subunit ribosomal RNA", at positions 94 to 354 of the family's 1533-position model. The record is from RNAcentral.
AGUGGCGAACGGGUGAGUAACACGUGGGCAACCUGCCCAAAAGAGGGGGAUAACACUUGGAAACAGGUGCUAAUACCGCAUAACCAUAGUUACCGCAUGGUAACUAUGUAAAAGGUGGCUAUGCUACCGCUUUUGGAUGGGCCCGCGACGCAUUAGCUAGUUGGUGGGGUAAAGGCUUACCAAGGCAAUGAUGCGUAGCCGAACUGAGAGGUUGAUCGGCCACAUUGGGACUGAGACACGGCCCAAACUCCUACGGAAGGCAGCAG